UGGGCCUUGAGGGAAAAGAACUGUGAAAUUUGGGUUCAAUUUAGUUGUUUUGAUCUGGACUUCUUUAUGAGUAGGGAGAAUUAAAUUGGCCACAUGUGACCUUGUAUUUAGAGGAAAUCAAAUCAUUCAAACAAGAUAAUUUAGCCCCUUGCUCAACAAUUCCUCCUUUUCUCUUCAACUCCAGGGUUAUUGAUUGAGGUCCUGCCUGAAUACAUUUUACUAGAGUUUAGAGAAUUGUAAUAGUUGCAUUGUUUCUCUGGUUACAACCUCAAAAUGCACUGCAGAUUUCUUCAACUGAAAUUGCUCCGAUGUUAAUAUGUUGUGGGAAUGAAAGACUGAUUUCAGCACUCAAGCUACACCAGAGGAAACAGCAGUGAGGAGAAACCAAGCAGCGAUCAUGGGACAAGAGGUCUUUUCUUCCUGUCUUCAUCUGCUGAUCUGCUCACCUGAUAUUCACUGAGUACCAAGUUUAUGCCAGGCUGAAGUCCUGGCUGGAAUGCUUCUUGUAUCAUAUCAUUGGAGAUUGGAAGAAUUGAGAUGUUUCUUGCUGUGGUUGUCCAACCCAGCUCUAGUUUGUCAGCCAGUAUUCUGCAUGCACAAAAGUAGUGUUUAAUCUAAGAAGACUCGAG
Molecule: long non-coding RNA, 629 nt
Filed under: Pan troglodytes (chimpanzee)
Lineage: Eukaryota; Metazoa; Chordata; Mammalia; Primates; Hominidae
Description: long non-coding RNA NONPTRT015579
Source: RNAcentral